AUUGAACGCUGGCGGAAUGCUUUACACAUGCAAGUCGAACGGCAGCACGGACUUCGGUCUGGUGGCGAGUGGCGAACGGGUGAGUAAUACAUCGGAACGUGCCCAGUCGUGGGGGAUACCGUAGCGAAAGCUACGCUAAUACCGCAUACGAGCUAAGGAUGAAAGCGGGGGAUCGCAAGACCUCGCGCGAUUGGAGCGGCGGAUAUCAGAUUAGGUAGUUGGUGGGGUAAAGGCUCACCAAGCCGACGAUCUGUAGCUGGUCUGAGAGGACGACCAGCCACACUGGGACUGAGACACGGCCCAGACUCCUACGGGAGGCAGCAGUGGGGAAUUUUGGACAAUGGGCGAAAGCCUGAUCCAGCCAUGCCGCGUGCAGGAUGAAGGCCUUCGGGUUGUAAACUGCUUUUGUACGGAACGAAAAGGUUUGGCCUAAUAAGCUGAGCUCAUGACGGUACCGUAGGAAUAAGCACCGGCUAACUACGUGCCAGCCGCCGCAGUAA
This 500-nucleotide ribosomal RNA is filed under the name uncultured bacterium. Its description in RNAcentral is "partial 16S ribosomal RNA". It matches the Rfam family "Bacterial small subunit ribosomal RNA", at positions 30 to 523 of the family's 1533-position model. The record is from RNAcentral.